ACUGCUCAGUAACACGUGGAUAACAUGCCCUAAGGUGGGGGAUAAUCUCGGGAAACUGAGGAUAAUACCCCAUAGAUCUUUGAUGCUGGAAUGCUCCAAGGUCGAAAACUCCGGUGCCUUAGGAUUGGUCUGCGGUCUAUCAGGCAGUAGUGGGUGUAAUGGACCCACUAGCCCGUGACGGAUAUGGGCCUUGAGAGAGGGUGCCCAGAGAUGGACUCUGAGACAUGAGUCCAGGCCCUACGGGGCGCAGCAGUCGCGAAAACUUCACAAUGGGGGAAACCCCGAUGAGGGAAUUCCAAGUGCUAGCACUUUGUGUUAGCUGUUCUUCUGUCUAAAAAACAGGAGAAGUAAGGGGCGGGUAAGACGGGUGCCAGCCGCCGCGGUAAUACCCGCGCCCCGAGUGGUGGUCGAUAUUAUUGAGCCUAAAACGUCCGUAGCCGGUCUUCUAAAUCCUUGGGUAAAUCGGGCAGCUUAACUGUCCGAAUUCCGGGGAGACUGGGAGACUUGGGACCGGAAGAGGUCAGAGGUACUUCUGGGGUAGGGGUAAAAUCCUGUAAUCCUGGAAGGACCACCGGUGGCGAAGGCGUCUGACUAGAACGGAUCCGACGGUGAGGGACGAAGCCCUGGGGCGCAAACGGGAUUAGAUACCCCGGUAGUCCAGGGUGUAAACGCUGCGGGCUUGGUGUUGGGGGUCCUUAGUGGGCGCCCAGUGCCGGAGAGAAGUUGUUAAGCCUGCUGCUUGGGGAGUAUGUCCGCAAGGAUGAAACUUAAAGGAAUUGGCGGGGGAGCA
RNAcentral lists this ribosomal RNA (790 nucleotides) under uncultured archaeon. Its description in RNAcentral is "bacterial SSU rRNA". It matches the Rfam family "Archaeal small subunit ribosomal RNA", at positions 85 to 878 of the family's 1478-position model. The record is from RNAcentral.